GAUGAACGCUGGCGGCGUGCCUAAUACAUGCAAGUCGAGCGAACAGACGAGGAGCUUGCUCCUCUGACGUUAGCGGCGGACGGGUGAGUAACACGUGGAUAACCUACCUAUCAGACUGGGAUAACUUCGGGAAACCGGAGCUAAUACCGGAUAAUAUAUUGAACCGCAUGGUUCAAUAGUGAAAGACGGCUUUGCUGUCACUUAUAGAUGGAUCCGCGCCGCAUUAGCUAGUUGGUAAGGUAACGGCUUAUCAAGGCAACCAUGCGUAGCCGACCGGAGAGGGUGAUCGGCCACACUGGAACUGAAACGCGGACCAGGGUCCUGCGGUAGGCACCAGUAGGGAAUCUUCCGCAAUAGGCGGGAGCCUUACGGAGCAGCGCCGCGUGAGAUGUAGAAGUCCUCGGAUCGUAAAACUCUGUUUUUAGGUAAGAACAAAUUUGUAAGUAACUAUGCACGUCUUGACGGUACCUAGUCAGAAAGCCACGGCUAACUACGUG
RNAcentral lists this ribosomal RNA (497 nucleotides) under uncultured bacterium. Its description in RNAcentral is "partial 16S ribosomal RNA". It matches the Rfam family "Bacterial small subunit ribosomal RNA", at positions 28 to 507 of the family's 1533-position model. The record is from RNAcentral.